AAUAAAGUUUUCUUUAUUGGGGUUGCGGACAUAUCAUAACGAAGAGGUAUCGUAAUUGAAGAGGUUUGGAAAGACCCACCACAGAAGGUAAUAGUCCUGUAUGUUAAACGAGAAGACUUUAGAUAUGAUCCAGAGUACCACGGGACACGUGAAACCCUGUGGGAAGCAGGAGGGACCACCCUCCAAGGCUAAAUACUACCUAGUGACCGAUAGCGUAUAGUACCGUGAGGGAAAGGUGAAAAGAACCCCGGGAGGGGAGUGAAAUAGAACCUGAAACCCUGCACUUACAAGCUGUGGAAGCACAUUUCUUGUGUGACCGCGUACUUUUUGUAGAACGGGCCAACGAGUUACGUUAAGUAGCAAGGUUAAGCACUUAAGGUGCGGAGCCGUAGCGAAAGCGAGUUUUAACUGAGCGUUCAGUUACUUGACGUAGACCCGAAACCGGGCGACCUACCCAUGAGCAGGAUGAAGCGAAAGUAAAAUUUCGUGGAGGUCCGAACCCACGAGCGUUGAAAAGCUCGGGGAUGACUUGUGGGUAGCGGUGAAAUUCCAAUCGAGCCCGGAGAUAGCUGGUUCUCCCCGAAAUAGCUUUAGGGCUAGCCUCAAGGUGAGAGAUACGGAGGUAGAGCACUGAAUGUCCUAGGGGGUAUUGCACCUA
This 658-nucleotide ribosomal RNA is filed under the name Clostridioides difficile. Its description in RNAcentral is "bacterial LSU rRNA". It matches the Rfam family "Bacterial large subunit ribosomal RNA", at positions 276 to 938 of the family's 2925-position model. Lineage: Bacteria; Bacillati; Bacillota; Clostridia; Peptostreptococcales; Peptostreptococcaceae. The record is from RNAcentral.